UUAUAAGAGACAGCAGUCGCCACGGUAAAACGGAGGGGGCUAGCGUUGUUCGGAAUUACUGGGCGUAAAGCGUACGUAGGCGGCUUUGUAAGUUAGAGGUGAAAGCCUGGUGCUCAACACCAGAACUGCCUUUAAGACUGCAUCGCUUGAACGUCGGAGAGGUGAGUGGAAUUCCGAGUGUAGAGGUGAAAUUCGUAGAUAUUCGGAAGAACACCAGUGGCGAAGGCGGCUCACUGGACGACUGUUGACGCUGAGGUACGAAAGCGUGGGGAGCAAACAGGAUUAGAUACCUCCGUAGUCCCUGUCUCUUAUAC
RNAcentral lists this ribosomal RNA (314 nucleotides) under uncultured bacterium. RNAcentral describes it as "partial 16S ribosomal RNA". It matches the Rfam family "Bacterial small subunit ribosomal RNA", at positions 499 to 807 of the family's 1533-position model. The record is from RNAcentral.